RNAcentral lists this ribosomal RNA (433 nucleotides) under uncultured bacterium. RNAcentral describes it as "partial 16S ribosomal RNA". It matches the Rfam family "Bacterial small subunit ribosomal RNA", at positions 29 to 507 of the family's 1533-position model. The record is from RNAcentral.
AACGAACGCUGGCGGCAUGCCUAACACAUGCAAGUCGAACGAGACCUUCGGGUCUAGUGGCGCACGGGUGCGUAACACGUGGGAAUCUGCCCUUUGCUUCGGAAUAACAGUUAGAAAUGACUGCUAAUACCGGAUGAUGUCGAAAGACCAAAGAUUUAUCGGCAAAGGAUGAGCCCGCGUAGGAUUAGGUAGUUGGUGGGGUAAAGGCCUACCAAGCCGACGAUCCUUAGCUGGUCUGAGAGGAUGAUCAGCCACACUGGGACUGAGACACGGCCCAGACUCCUACGGGAGGCAGCAGGGGGGAAUAUUGGACCAUGGGCGAAAGCCUGAUCCAGCAAUGCCGCGUGAGUGAUGAAGGCCUUAGGGUUGUAAAGCCCUUUUACCCGGGAUGAUAAUGACAGUACCUGGAGAAUAAGCUCCGGCUAACUCCGUG